CUCGUCCGUAUUGCCGCCGGGUCCGCAGCCCCGCAGUACUACAGCCAGGCCGCUCUCCCCCCACCCGCGUUCGUGGCCUUCGAGCUGUAUAAUGAAGAUAAUAGUCCCCGCUCCACAGGGUCAUUGUGAGAUUCAAGCAGGGUGGUUGAUGGGGAGCCCUUAGCCCAGUGCCUUGGCGUGUACCAAGUGCUUGAGGAAGGGGAGCUCCCAUCACGGAGGGUGGAACUUGGCCAGCUGACUUCGCUUAUGCAAGGAAAUACACCUGUUGCAGGUGCUUCUGGUUGUGGGAUGUGGGACGCCACCUUAACGUGGCCUAACGAGCAGUGCCAUGUCCGUGCCCAGGAUCCGAACCCUGGGCCGCUGCAGCAGAGCGUGCGAACUUAACCACUCGGCCACAGAGCCAGCCCCUGAAGAGCCCGACUGCACCAUCUCUGCCUGGUCCUGAAGGAGCAGCUGCCACCAGCACCUUCUCAGGGGCUGGGCCAAGCCGAACCGCGCAGCCGACACCCACAGUGCUGCAGGCCCUGGCCAGCUGCAGUUGGAGGCACAGUGCCAUCUAGCGGAUAAAAGAAAAAAGGCUCCAUCGCUUUUUUUUUUAAGUUACUGGAGAACCAUAGACCAAAGAAUCAGCUGUCUUUAUUUGCUACCAAAGGAGCUUGAUAACCAGAGAAGGAAAUGGAUUUCCUGAAUGUCACACAGCCAGCUGGUGGCCGCAUUGAUACUACAGAGCCUCAUCAUUUGAGCCUUGGUCCAGCAUUCUCCGCACUAUACCACAGUAAAGAAACCAGAGGAUAAAAGAGCUUCUAGUUUUGGCUGAGUGGCAUUUCAGACCUCUGCUGAGGUGGAGGUGAACACAAGCGGGGGCCAGCGUCUGAAGAGAUGGUGUCAGUUAUUCACUAUCGAAUGCCUUGGCUGGACUCUCUCAGUCAUGGGUGCAAGGCCAGAGCAAAUUCAGUUGUCCACCCUGCUCUCCCUCCCAGCAAAUCUGCCAUGAAACUCAGCACAAGAUAAGACCAGGUGCAUUGCACUGGGUGAGGGAGCAGGAGAUGCCACAGGUGUCCUGUGCCCUGGGUGGAGAAGAGAAAGAGCUUGUGGGCUGCCGGCCCAGUCUUUCCCAGCCCGUGUUAUUUACAGCUAAGGAAAAUUUUGUGCAUCUGACCCUGGUCCUACUUCCUUCUCCCACCUUUUAGAAACUCCCUACAACUCUAAGUUCCUAGUCCCCAGGUGCCCAGGCUAGGUCCCCAGAUCCCAGAAGAGGGGUGGGGUUGGUGUGUGGGGUGGGGGCGGGGGCAGCACCCUCGUUUUCUGCCCUCUGGGGACUGCCACAACCUGGGUUAACGCAGACUGCCAUGACGCAGUGCACGACAUGUGGGCUUCUCAGCCAGGCUGCAGCUAAAAGGCACUACCCUGAGCCGAGUGUUCCCCACGAUGGUGGAGGGGAGCACACGCUGCAUUAUUCAGUGUCAGUGUGGGGGUGGGGG
Molecule: long non-coding RNA, 1481 nt
Filed under: Equus asinus (donkey)
Lineage: Eukaryota; Metazoa; Chordata; Mammalia; Perissodactyla; Equidae
Description: lncRNA (ENSEASG00005027144.1)
Source: RNAcentral